Molecule: non-coding RNA, 2100 nt
Organism: Bactrocera oleae (olive fruit fly)
Lineage: Eukaryota; Metazoa; Arthropoda; Insecta; Diptera; Tephritidae
Source: RefSeq, a predicted model, not a curated record
UUUCUAAAUUGGCUGAACGUCAUAGCUAUGCAAUUAAAAUUUAUAUGGCAAAUUUUCUAUAGAACGAAGCACAUAUCUAUAUAUGUAUGUAUGUAUCUAGAUAAAUGUGCAUACAAGCGCCAUCACAGGCAAUAAAGCGUAUUUGAUCUCCAACAAUAAAAUAUAUUUUAUAGAUAUACAUACAUAUGUACAUAUAUAUGCUUGUGUGUACAUAUGCAUGAGAUGAUGUCACUGCAAUGUCAAUUUUUAUUCUAAUACAAAUUUUACAUCGCGUGAAUGCGUCCCAUUCGCAUUGAAUAUAUGGUACAUACCCUCGUAUAUGCAUGUAUGUAUGAAUACAUAUACAUACAUACAGUCGCUAUUUCACAUAUGUAUGUAUGAAUUUUCGUUGUCAUUUUAUAUUUUAUCCUGAGAUUCAAGAAAAUAACGGCGUAGUGAAUCGAAAUUUCUUUACUCUAUAUUCUACAUUACCUGGAGAGAUGCCGUAAAAUUGGCUAUAUAACUAAUCCUAUUUGAGACUUUUGCCUGUUUUAUUUUUAUAUUUACAACUAUCACUUUUUAUUUCAUGGCAAUUACCCUGAAUUCAAAAUGUUUAGUGCGCGAAAAUAAUAGUAAAAGAGCAAAACAAAUCGAUAUUUGUUGAGCGAAAUUAAACAACGCCUAAGUGUGGCGGAGAAAAUGGUGGCUGAAAUUCGCAAUAAAAGGUAGGACGUUAAGCAAUGGCGAACAUAAGGUCAAGGUGACUGGGAGCUAAUUUUGCGUGCACAGUUUUCCGUGAAAAAGAACACUGCAGACGCAAGAGUUACUGCAACAUUAUUUCGGGAAUCGGGAUGUACAUACAUAUACCUUUUAAGACAAGUGAAGGUAACAGAUAUUCGUGAAACGCAAAAUACAGGUUUUUCCAGUAAGAGUGAUAUGAUUUCUUUUCAACGAACUACUAAUUUUUAAGAAAAUUCUAAUGUUUUUUAUUCAAUGUGAAAUGCAAUCGAUAUGAUUAAGUUAUGAAUAUCAUCAUUCAAAUGGCCUCCACGACUUCUUUUGCAUUAACGAAUUCGAUGAACCCAAUUUUCAAGUACUUUUCCCACUAAAUCAAGUCGUAUGUCAUGAAUGUUCAAUAUUGACUUCAAAGAUUUGAAGAGAGUCUGGUUUAUUGCUAAAGACCAAUAACUUCAACUAACCCCACAAGAAGUAGUCUAAUGGUGCUAUAUCACAACUUCUUCGAGGUCAUUCAAUGUCAUAAUUUCCUGAAAUUAUCGAAUCUCCAAACCACCAGAAUAAAAACCACAUCAAACUGUCACUUUAGGCGAAUGUAAUGAUUGUUCAUGAAUAAUUUGUGGAUUUUGUUCUCGCGCACGAAAUAACGUCAUGCUUGCAUACAUCUUGCCAUGAUGAAAUUGUAAACAUUACUGAAUACAAUGAAAAAAAAUUACAGAUUGAGACAUAUUAAAAAUGACUGAAAUGACACUUAGAAAUCAUAUCAUCCCUAUUGGAAAACCCAAUAUAAGUAUAUACAUAGAAGGCUACAUCAAAAAUAAUUAAGCGCAAAGCUAUACAUACGUACAAUGUAUCUACAUUUAUUGUUAUUACGAUUCAAUCAAUUUUAAUAUUUUACCCAUUUGUAUCACCGUUGUUCGUACACAAUGCCACGGGGGAAAUUACGCACAUGUUCUAACAACCAAUGCGUUUUAAAAUUUAAAACUGCUGGAAUAUAAUGUAUAAUAUUUUAGUUUUCUAUUGGCAGUGACCAUGACCUAGACGAGAGCCGUGGGAAAAGUGCCAAUUGGGAAGCCAAUAGUAUGGUGUACCUAUAUUCUCUAAUUUUACAUAAUAUGUUUGCACAAACGUAUAUUUACCAUUUAUAUGUACAUACAUAUGGACAUAUGGUAUGUUUUCUAAUACAUAUAUCGAAUGUGUUGUGUUAAUUGCUAAGGAAUUAUUUCGCUUUAUUAUAAAUUUAAAAACUCUAAGUAAUACAAUUAUUAUUACGUUUCUGGAUAAGAAUACAUCUUAAUUUGAUUGAAUAUAUGUGUAUAUAAAUGUAUAUAAAUAUAGGUGAAAUUAGUUUUAAAGUAAUCGAAGUAAACAAUGGUUUUAUGAAUU